GGAAUGUGGCUCAAGUUGGGAGGCGUUACCUGCGGAGGGUUUGAGGCACGCCCAGGAGCGAGCCCACGGUCGGCCGACGCGGGGCCAGGGGCGGGCCCCAGGAUCCGGAGCUUCGGGCGGGGCCGAGUCUGGGUUUGGGGCCCGGGAGGCGGGGCCAGUUAGGGCGAGGGUCCCUGGGAUCGUCGGGUCAGGCCUUGGGCUAACGUAGACACUCUCGCAGUACCUCCGCCUUCAGGAAGGUCUUUUUAGCAGGGGCCUUACAGGUGCACGCUUCGGUCCUGGAGGCCUUAUCCUAACCUCUCCAUCAGCGCCACCCGUCUGGGGCCCGAAAGGAGGGAGCUUUCCCUCUGUCCUCCAGCCUUUGGACUGUCUCCAAACAAGCCAUUCGUUCACCAAAUACUUAUUAAGCACCUACCAUGUGCCUGACAAGGGAGAUGUAACGCUGUUGUUCCCCACCAGAACCAAAUGAGCGCAAGAUCUGACAAAGAAAAAAAAGGUUCAUCUUUUAUUCCCCCAAACACUUUCAUUUAAAUCAAGAGGAUGGGAUGUGGUUAUUGCUGUGUUUUUAGACAGAAUCAACGGUUUCUGUGUCUGAGAUGUUGCAUACACCCUCUCAGUCCCUCUAUCCUGAGAUGGAGUCACCUGAGGAUCCACAGCAAGUCCUAACCAGGGAUGGGUCUGGGUGAUUAAGGAAGGUUGGCUUCAGAACUGGGCCAGGGGCACUGCUUUGCUUUUGCUGUUUUGAUCAGCUCUCUGCCUGCAGGAGACAAGGAAAACCAAUGGGAACAGCUGGGGAAACUGAGUUACAGAGCUUUUCUGCACUGAGUCAUCAGGAGCAAAUGCUAGAUCAGAUAGGGUCUCUCUCUCUGCCACCCAGGCCAGAGUGCAGUUGACGCAGGGCAGGGGAGCCCCGAAGUGGAGCAUAGUGUGUCCGGAACUGGUGGGUUCUUGGUCUCACUGACUUCAAGAAUGAAGCCGUGGACCCUCACGGUUCAAGCGAUUCUCCUGCCUCAGCCUCC
RNAcentral lists this long non-coding RNA (1019 nucleotides) under Homo sapiens (human). RNAcentral's name for it is "HSALNT0312610". The record is from RNAcentral. Lineage: Eukaryota; Metazoa; Chordata; Mammalia; Primates; Hominidae.